AGAGUUUGAUCCUGGCUCAGGACGAACGCUGGCGGCGCGCUUAACACAUGCAAGUCGAGCGAGAACCAGUCCUUCGGGACUGGGGACAGCGGCGAACGGGUGAGUAACACGUGAGUAAUCCACCCUUGGCACCGGAAUAGCCCGGGGAAACCCGGAUUAAUGCCGGAUGGCCCGACAGCCUCUCGGGGCGGUCGGAAAAGAUAGCUUCGGCCUUCGGCCAAGGACGAGCUCGCGGCGGAUUAGCUUGUUGGCGGGGUAAAGGCCCACCAAGGCGACGAUCCGUAGCUGGUCUGAGAGGACGAUCAGCCACACUGGGACUGAGACACGGCCCAGACUCCUACGGGAGGCAGCAGUGGGGAAUCUUGCGCAAUGGGCGAAAGCCUGACGCAGCGACGCCGCGUGAGGGAAGAAGGCCUUCGGGUUGUAAACCUCUUUCAGGAGGGACGAAGCCACUCGGGUUAAUAGCCCAGAGGGUGACGGUACCUCCAGAAGAAGCCCCGGCUAACUACGUGCCAGCCGCCGCGGUAAUAC
RNAcentral lists this ribosomal RNA (531 nucleotides) under uncultured bacterium. Its description in RNAcentral is "bacterial SSU rRNA". It matches the Rfam family "Bacterial small subunit ribosomal RNA", at positions 8 to 526 of the family's 1533-position model. The record is from RNAcentral.